RNAcentral lists this ribosomal RNA (2766 nucleotides) under groundwater metagenome. RNAcentral describes it as "bacterial LSU rRNA". It matches the Rfam family "Bacterial large subunit ribosomal RNA". The record is from RNAcentral.
UCCGAAUGGGGAAACCCCCUCUUUAUGAGGAGCUGUGUUACACAGGGAAAUUCUAAAUACUAAUUUCUAAAUCUCAAAUAAAUUCUAAAUUCAAAAUACUAAACAUUUAAAAUUUAGAUAUUGAAAAUUAUUUGGAUCUUAGAAUUUGUAAUUUUGGAUUUUCGUGCGUAGCACAGCGGGGAACGCCUCGAACUGAAACAUCUAAGUAGGGGCAGGAAAAGAAAUUACAAAGAUUCCGUAAGUAGCGGCGAGCGAAAGCGGAAGAGUCUAAACCCCACGUCGCUCCGCAAGGAGCUAUGAGGGGGGUUGCGGGACUACAAUAUGGGAGUAAUUUAGAUAACCAAAGCGUCUGGAAAGGCGCGCCAUAGACCGUGACAGCCGGGUAGGUGAAAUUUAAGUUACCCUUAGUAGUAUCCCAAGUACCAUGGAGCACAUACUCUGUGGGAAUCCGGGGUGACCACACUCCAAGACUAAAUACUCUAGCAUACCGAUAGUGAACUAGUACCGUGAGGGAAAGGCGAAAAGAACGGGCAAAACCCGAGUGAAAUAGAACCUGAAAUUGUCUGCUAUCAAGCAGAUAGAGUCCCUCGGCCGCAAGGCUCGGGAUGAUAUCGUGCCUAUUGAAGAAUGAUCCGGCGAGUUUUCGUCCAGUGCAAGCCUAACUCCGCCAUGCGGGGGGAGGCGCAGGGAAACCGAGUGUUAACAGCGCGAUUAGUACUGGAUGGAAGACCCGAAACCUAGUGAGCUAACCAUGAGCAGGGUGAUCCCCGAUGAAAAUCGGGGGGAGGCCCGCACUCGUCAGAGUUACAAAUCUGUGAGAUGACUUGUGGUUAGGGGUAAUAUGCCAAUCGAACUAGGAGAUAGCUGGUUCUCCCCGAAAUAUAUAUAGGUAUAGCCUUCCGCUAAUGAUUACCAGAGGUAGAGCACUGGAUGGGUGUAGCAGCGCAAGUUGUUGCUCUCAAUCAAACUCCGAAUUCUGGUAUUUGGGCGGGGGAGUCAGAACGACCCGGCUAAGCGGGCCGCUCUAAAGGGAAACAACCCAGACUGUCGUCUAAGGUCUCUAAAUGAAUACUAAGUGUUGAACGAAGUCAGAUUUCUCGGACAACCAGGAGGUUGGCUCAGAAGCAGCCAUCCUUUAAAGAAAGCGUAACAGCUCACUGGUCGAUUUGGAAAUUUGGCGCGAAAAAUUUACCGAGGCUAAGUAUUCUACCGAAGACACAGAUGCGCGCAAGCGCGUGGUAGGGGAGCGUUGAGAGAACAGUGAAGUCCCUCCGCGAGGGUCGGGAUGGAGUGAUCUCAAGUGAGAAUGCCGGAAUGAGUAGCGUAAUGGUUGUGAGAAUCAACCACGUCGAAAACCCAAGGUUUCCCCCGCGACAUUGUUUGACGGGGGGUGAGUCGGCACCUAAGGCGAGGCCGCAGUUGGCGUAGCUAAUGGACGAGCCGUAGAUAUUCGGCUACAUGGUGAGUAUCGUCAUCAGUUAGGGAUGGACGGGAUAGGAGUAACCAGAUGUUGUUGUGAUAUAUGACAUCUAAGCCACAAAAUAGCUGGUCUUGGAAAAUCCAGAUUGGCGUUUAAUUGAGUGGUGACGGGGAGUUGGGGUUGCGAGACUUCGACAACUUGGUGAUCUUCAAUCCUCAAGAAAAGAUUCGUAACGAGAUGUUUAUCAUGCCGUACCGCAAACCGACACUGGUGGGUUGGUCGAGAAGACUAAGACGAUCGGGAGAAGGUAGUUCAAGGAACUCGGCAAAAAAGCUGGACGUAAGCUAUGCAAGAUGUCCUACCACGUUAAUCGUGGUUACAACAAAAGAUUAUUCCGCGACUGUUUAACUAAAACACAGGUCCGUGCGAACUCGAAAGAGACGGUAUACGGGCUGAGACCUGCCCAGUGCUCGCAAGUCAAGUGGAUGAGUGAGAUUACAUCAAGCUCUGAAAUGAAGCCCGAGUGAACGGCAGCAGUAACUAUAACUGUUCGAUGGUAGCGAAGUUCCUUGUCAGGUAAGUUCUGACCCGCAUGAAAGGUAUAACGACGGAAUAACUGUCUUGAACUAUCACCCGGCGAAUUUGAAAUGGCUGUGAAGAUGCGGCCUACCUCUACUAGGACAAAAAGACCCUAUGGAGCUUUACUGCAACCAGGCGCUGUUUUGGAUAUUGGAAUAGUUUAGUGUAGGAGGGAGCCGCAAGGCAAUCUUGAAACACCUCUCGUUUUGAUAUCUCAAGACUCACUCAACCCCACUGGAAACGCGGGGGAGGACAAGGUCUGGCGGGCAGUUUUACUGGGGAGGUACCCUGCUAAAAGGUAACGCAGGGGUACAAAGGUGCACUAGGCUCGGAUGGAAAUCGAGCGGUUUGUGUAACGGCAUAAGUGCGCUUGACUGUGAGAGCGUCAGCUCGAACAGGUGCGAAAGCAGGUCGUAGUGAUCCCCCGAUCCUGCGUGGGCGGGACGGGGCUUAACGGAUAAAAGCUACCCUAGGGAUAACAGGCUGAUCGCCGCCAAGAGUUCAUAUCGACGCGGCGGUUUGGCACCUCGAUGUCGGCUCACCGCAUCCUGGGGGGGCAGUACCUCCCAAGGGUCCGUCUGUUCGCCGGUUAAAGCGGUACGCGAGCUGGGUUCAGAACGUCGUAAGACAGUUGAGACUGAUGACAUAUCAGUCUGACAAUUGAGCUGUCUAUCAUCUACGCGUUUAGAACGUUAAUUUAUAUUAUGCGAGGAACUGUUAUUUUGAUGAUUCCACAACCAGUGUGGAGAAAAUUUGACUAUAUGCUG